GGUCCCUAUUCCUCUUCUUCUUGACUCUCCCAACCUUAAUCCUCGAUUCCCCAAUUCCAACCACCCCAUCCCCAUCCAUGAUGCUGGCACCGUUGAGUGGAAGACUAGAAGGAUACCUACUUAGUUCAAAAUCACCAACGAAGCCAUGACCUCCACCUUUGCCUCUACAAACCCCUACAUUGCCUCCCCACCAAUGGUCCCAAGCUUUCGAUCUUUCCUACUUCUAUGGAUGUGGGGUCCUGCAUG
RNAcentral lists this long non-coding RNA (246 nucleotides) under Elaeis guineensis (African oil palm). RNAcentral describes it as "long non-coding RNA (EGUI_LNC046109)". The record is from RNAcentral. Lineage: Eukaryota; Viridiplantae; Streptophyta; Magnoliopsida; Arecales; Arecaceae.